UACAGAGGUCUCAAGCGUUGUUCGGAUUUAUUGGGCGUAAAGGGCGCGUAGGCGGUCACGCACGUCCGUUGUGAAAUCGCUCGGCUCAACUGGGCGGGGUCAGCGGAUACGGUGUGACUGGAGCAAGCUAGGGGGCAAUGGAAUUCCCGGUGUAGUGGUGGAAUGCGUAGAUAUCGGGAGGAACACCAGUGGCGAAGGCGGUUGCCUGGAGCUUUGCUGACGCUGAUGCGCGAAAGCGUGGGGAGCGAUCCGG
RNAcentral lists this ribosomal RNA (253 nucleotides) under uncultured bacterium. Its description in RNAcentral is "partial 16S ribosomal RNA". It matches the Rfam family "Bacterial small subunit ribosomal RNA", at positions 524 to 776 of the family's 1533-position model. The record is from RNAcentral.